CCUACGGGUGGCAGCAGUGAGGAAUAUUGGUCAAUGGGCGGAAGCCUGAACCAGCCAAGCCGCGUGAAGGACGACUGCCCUAUGGGUUGUAAACUUCUUUUGUAUGGGGGUAAAAUGCUCCACGUGUAGGGUUUUGUAUGUACCGUAUGAAUAAGGAUCGGCUAACUCCGUGCCAGCAGCCGCGGUAAUACGGAGGAUCCGAGCGUUAUCCGGAUUUAUUGGGUUUAAAGGGAGCGUAGGUGGGUUUGUAAGUCAGUGGUGAAAUUCUGAGGCUCAACCUUAGAGCUGCAGCUGAAACUGGAAGUCUUGAGUACAGGAGAGGCUGGCGGAAUGUGUGGUGUAGCGGUGAAAUGCGUAGAUAUUACGCAGAACGCCGAUUGCGAAGGCAGCUUACUGGACCGCAACUGACACUGAGGCACGAAAGCGUGGGGAUCAAACAGGAUUAGAUACCCCGGUAGUC
Molecule: ribosomal RNA, 460 nt
Filed under: uncultured bacterium
Lineage: Bacteria
Description: partial 16S ribosomal RNA
Rfam family: Bacterial small subunit ribosomal RNA
Source: RNAcentral